UUUUCUCUUAUACAGUUGAUUUGCUGAAAAUUUAAAGUGUAUAUAAAAUAAAAUUUUGAGAACAUCAUGCGUGCUAGUGUAGCGCAUGGAAAAAUUGGGUCGAUGUGCGAAAGAUGGCGGCUACUGCGUGGUGUGCGUGAAAAAGAUUCGUGCGUAGAUUUUGUCUGUAGUUUUUAUCAAAACAUGACAAAAUAUGGAAAAAUCUAUUUACAUGUGCACAAGGCUAUUAUAGGUGGAAGAUUCGUAAUGUUGAUGAAUAUUCAGAUUCUAUGUUUCCCAUCCGUGUAAAAAUCGUUUGUUUACGAUAAAGUUUGUAUAAUACUUCAACGUGAAGUGAAGUGUUGCAAGGGAAAAAGAGACCCUAACAUAGACGAGAUUGGAGAUCAAGUGUAGCCGGACUUCGGCCCGGUAAGAAGAUCAGUAGAGAUGCUGAAGCAAUUGCAGAUGGGGAUGAGAGCUUUUCUCUUGAUGGCCUCCCGAGUGUGGACAUGCGUCUUCUUUCUUCUCAAGAAGCAGGUUAGAGCCAUAUCACAAAUGCAACCUGUUAAAUAUGAAAUCUUCCCAUUAUCUCCAUUAUCAAGGCACAGACUUAGUAUAGUUAAAAGGAAAGUAUUAGUAUUGGAUUUAGAUGAAACAUUAAUUCAUUCUCAUCAUGAUGGAGUGGCAAGGCCAACAGUUAGAUUUGGUACACCACCAGAUUUUAUUCUUAAAGUGAAGAUAGACAGACAUCCUGUCAGAUUUUUUGUCCAUAAAAGACCACAUGUAGAUUUCUUUUUAGAUAUUGUUAGUCAAUGGUAUGAAUUAGUGGUUUUCACUGCUUCCAUGGAAAUCUAUGGUGCAGCUGUUGCAGAAAAGUUAGAUAAUAACAGGGGUAUAUUAAGAAGAAGAUAUUAUAGACAACAUUGUACACCAGAAAUGGGUUCCUAUACUAAAGAUUUAUCUGCAAUUUGUUCAGAUUUAGCAUCAGUCUUUAUACUUGAUAAUAGUCCUGGAGCCUACAGAGCCUAUCCUCCUAUCAGCGUUGAUGUUCUGUAAGCAAGCACUGAAUACAGGCCUAUGGAUAGAUGUAAAAUAUGCUCAAUUGCCAAUGCUCCUCCACUUGAAUAAGCACUGGACACUACGCCGAAUUGGCAAUGAUAUUCAACUAAUUUCAACUGUUUUAAUCAUUUUUUUUAAUAAUUCCUGUGUAUCAGAUAACGCAAUACCAAUAAAGUCUUGGUUUAGCGAUGCGGGAGAUACUGCUUUGUUGAGUUUACUUCCUGUUUUGGAUGCCCUUCGUUUUACACAAGAUGUACGGUCCGUUCUUUCAAGGAAUUUACAUUUACAUCAUACUUGGUAGCAUAGUUUGGAUUAAGUAAUAAACUAGAUUUAUUAGAGAUCGAGCUGCAAAACGUUUAGCGUGUUUAAUCUAGGGUUAUUGUUAUUGGUAAUAGAUAUAGGAUGCUGACUAAAUGAUGAGACGAUGAUCCCUGACCCCCUGUCCUCAUUUUCUACGCUCGUUAGAAAAUAAAAACGUAGCGAGUAAGUCUGAAAGGGAAUGGGACCUUUAACCAAACUAUUUACAUUAGCACAAAAUGUCCUGAUAUUUUCGUUAUGUUCAUGUGUGCGCAAUAAUAUAUAUAUAUAUACGUAUGCGUACACAAUACAUAUACAUACACAAAUCGAGAGAGAGAGAGAAAGUGGGCUUUCUUAAAAAAAGAAAAAAUGUAUUUGCCAAAGAUUGAGAUUUUAAAUUAAUAUAGAUUUAUACGUAUAUUUCACUUGAAAUAAUUUUGUUCUAAGUGAAAAUAUUAUACAAAACGUUUUAAGUAUUUUGCCACACAUGAUAAAAAAAGUGUUAUAUUUUUUAAACGAAUUAUUUCUGUUAUAUAUAAUAUUAUUAAACAUAAAGUAUAGUAUAAAAAAAAAAAAAAAACUAAAAAAAAUACUAAGUCACAGUUUAAACGGACUUUGCUGUAACUCACUGUAUCAGUGAGGCAGCUAUCCUAAAUAUAUCUAAUAAUAAAAAAAAGUAUUAAUGAACUAUAAAGAAGGGAUAUUUGAUUUCAAUAAAUUUUUCGAAAAAUGGAAAUUGUUUAAUGUUAUGUACGAUGUUAUACAUCAGAAAGAAAUACGAAUGAAGUAACAGUAAAUAGAUUGUGCAUAUACCUGUAUACUUUAUUUGUUUAUUUCAUCAUUCAAAAAUACUAUUGAAAAUUAUUAUGGUUUAUACAAUGAUGGGAAAUGUAUUUGUUGCAGAAUGAUGAUUGAGUGAAUGAACAAUGUAAUCAAGCGAUUAAACGUUUUACAUAGCAUUUAUACAUGUAUAUUAUGUAUGUACAUGUAUAAAUGUUAGUUUUACUUAAUUAUAAAAAUUCAAUUUAAAAAAAUAUGCCCAUGUGCAAAAGAAUGAAAUAAUAAUACUUUGUUCUCAAAUAAAUUAUAAAUAAUUGAGAACAUUUGUUUAUUUAUUGACAUAUAUCAAACAAGUUGCUCACAUGGAUUUAUAUUAUUAAUAGUAAUUUAUUCCAAAGUAAGAAGAGCCAUGGGUAAUAGAUAUAGGAUAAGGCAGGAUUAUAUUACACUCAAUAAAAAUAAUGUCUUUCUGUACAUAGUAAACCUAUAUGUACAUGUAUGGAUGUUCUGUUAUCACAUACAUGCAACUAUAUGUAUAUGUUAAGAAAAAAUAUUAAUUUUUUAAUUUCAAAUAUACAUUGCAAAAUAAUUUGUAUAAACAUAGUCCAUAAUUAAAUAUGGUUCUAUGUAUCGCGAUUGUCUUUUUAAAUUCAAAUAUGGAUUAAAAUGUACAUAUUUAGUUUAUAAA
RNA transcript from Apis dorsata (giant honeybee), 2803 nucleotides. It is a transcript of the gene named CTD nuclear envelope phosphatase 1 homolog, with no coding region annotated. The record is from RefSeq and is a predicted model, not a curated record. NCBI's taxonomy places the organism in Eukaryota, Metazoa, Arthropoda, Insecta, Hymenoptera, Apidae. The transcript is spliced from 6 exons.